Molecule: non-coding RNA, 108 nt
Filed under: Capsicum annuum
Lineage: Eukaryota; Viridiplantae; Streptophyta; Magnoliopsida; Solanales; Solanaceae
Source: RNAcentral
GUGUUCGUAGAAAGGAGAGAUGGUUGGCAUCUCUCUCAACAGAGAUAGUAAUAUCCUUCAGGCUUUACCUGUUAUCAGACACUGUGGUUGCUCAUAUAGAUGUUGUGU